Molecule: ribosomal RNA, 425 nt
Filed under: uncultured bacterium
Lineage: Bacteria
Description: partial 16S ribosomal RNA
Rfam family: Bacterial small subunit ribosomal RNA
Source: RNAcentral
GUGGGGAAUAUUGGACAAUGGGCGAAAGCCUGAUCCAGCAAUGCCGCGUGAGUGAUGAAGGCCUUAGGGUUGUAAAGCUCUUUUACCAGGGAUGAUAAUGACAGUACCUGGUGAAUAAGCUCCGGCUAACUCCGUGCCAGCAGCCGCGGUAAUACGGAGGGAGCUAGCGUUGUUCGGAAUUACUGGGCGUAAAGCGCGCGUAGGCGGUUUAUCAAGUCAGGGGUGAAAUCCCGGGGCUCAACCCCGGAACUGCCCUUGAAACUGGUUCACUAGAAUCCUGGAGAGGCGAGUGGAAUUCCGAGUGUAGAGGUGAAAGUCGUAGAUAUUCGGAAGAACACCAGUGGCGAAGGCGACUCGCUGGACAGGUAUUGACGCUGAGGUGCGAAAGCGUGGGGAGCAAACAGGAUUAGAAACCCUUGUAGUCC